CCUACGGGAGGCAGCAGUAGGGAAUCUUUCACAAUGGACGAAAGUCUGAUGGAGCAACGCCGCGUGAGCGAAGAAGGGUUUCGGCUUGUAAAGCUCCGUUGGUAGUGAAGAAAAAUAUAGGUAGUAACUGGCUUUUAUUUGACGGUAAUUCUUUAGAAAGUCACGGCUAACUACGUGCCAGCAGCUGCGGUAAUACGUAGGGGGGAAGCGUUAUCCGGAUUUGUUGGGCGUAAGGGGAGUGCAGGCGGAUCGAUAAGUCUGUUGUGAAAGCCUGCGGCUCAACCGGAGAAUUGCAGCAGAAACUGUUAAGCUUGAGUGUAGGAGAGGUGGGCGGAACUCCAUGUGUAGCGGUGGAAUGCGUAGAUAUAUGGAAGAACACCAGUGGCGAAGGCGGCUCUCUGGUCUGCAACUGACGCUGAGGCUCGAAAGCAUGGGUAGCGAACAGGAUUAGAGACCCUUGUAGUC
This 465-nucleotide ribosomal RNA is filed under the name uncultured bacterium. RNAcentral's name for it is "partial 16S ribosomal RNA". It matches the Rfam family "Bacterial small subunit ribosomal RNA", at positions 338 to 795 of the family's 1533-position model. The record is from RNAcentral.